Molecule: non-coding RNA, 4263 nt
Organism: Phalacrocorax carbo (great cormorant)
Lineage: Eukaryota; Metazoa; Chordata; Aves; Suliformes; Phalacrocoracidae
Source: RefSeq, a predicted model, not a curated record
CUUCCUCUUCCUCUUCCUCUUCUUCUUGUUAUUAUUUGUCCCAAGCGCUUUCUACCAGAAUGUUCCUCUGUGCAAGGCUUUCCCCCAUGUGAGUUUUUUCCCCGGUGAUGUGCCCCCUCUCCACCCUGUUCCAGCCCACCAUAUUCAGCAUCAUCCCCCAUAACCCCUGUGCUGCUGCACCCCCCACCUGCCCAUUGCCCCCACCAAAACUCUGAUGCCCCCACCCUUCCCUGCACCCCACACUCCCUCCUCUUGUGUUCUGGAUUUGUGCUGGAAAUGGUUUUGCUUAGGCAGGGCUGUGUUGGUUACCGCUGAGCAGCACUUACGCAGCACUGGGGGCUCUUAUGCUCCUCACACCACCCCACCUGUGAGCAGGCAGUGGGGACAGAGAGCUGGGAGGGGACACACCUGGGACAGUGGACCCCAGAGAUAUUCAGACCAUAUGAUGUCAUGUGCAGUAAUAAAACCAGGGGAGAGGUUGGCAGGGGGCCGCUGCUUAUGGGCUGCCUGGGCAUGGCGCAGCUGGUGGUGAGUGAUUGUUUUCAUUUGCAUCACUGCUCUUUCUCGGGUUUUCUUUUUCUUUUUCUUGUCUGUUUUUUUUUUUCUUUUCCUUACUGCCGGUUGGUGGUUGUUUUAAGUGUUUUUAUCUCAACCCAUGGCUUUUCUCACUCUUACUCCUCUGAUUCUCCCCCCCAUUCCACUGCAGGGAAGUGAGUGGUUGUGUGGUGCUUAGUUGCCAGCUGGGGUUUAGCCACAACAGAAGGUUAGUUAGCAAGCUCUGCCUGGCUAAUGCUUUAGGUGCUCCAUGUUACUCCUACCAUCUUGAUAGGCCAUCCUCAUCUUCAUUGCUACUUUAUGCUGCCUUUUGCAUGGUGUGAGUACUGCUGCUUAUGGAGCAAACAUACCUGUCUCCCACCCUCUGGGAAGUAACUCUGCCAAAGACAAAGAGUGAAACAGCCAUGGCACAAUCUACAGUGAUUCUGCCUCUCCAGGUGCCCAACAGGCCCCUCUUUCUUGCCUCUUACUCUGUCCAGCCAGGCUGGAAAGUGUGGUUGCUGGCCCCGAGGUCAUCACCUCUGCAUGGGACAGAGGUGGCCUGAAGGGCUUUGCACCAAGUAAUUUCUUUCGUCUUUGGGCAGCAGCGGUUCUGCCGCUGCUUCAGGCAGCUGCUUUCUUGAGGGCAAGGAGCUGGGACAACAACAGGCUGCUGCAGACUCUGAUCAGGCUGAGAGGCUGUUCCCUGGGGACCUAGUGCAGGGAAAGGGAGGUACUCACAAGCACUUGUCAAUCCCACUUAGUAGGAAAGUGACGAUUAAGAUGUUAGUGUAAGAGAUUUUUUAUAAUACUGAACUAAAUUACAUUUGGGAUCAUAUGUAUGAAUAUGAUUUAUGCAACCGCAGUGCUGCUCACAAGGCUUAGAGGAUUGUUCUCAGCCUGCUCCCCUGUAUAGACCCACCCAAGGCUGUUCUAAAACCCAGUCAAGUUAAUCACUGGAGACAGUUUCAACAAAAGAUAAUUGAUUAACCGGAAACAGGUGUAUAUUAAAAUACAAAGAAAUUAAUGUCUUAGAAUUGUUAACUUUAGUUCAGCCAUUAAUAGUACAUCUUGAAGUCUUUCUCAGAAUUGUAUAGGAUGGAUUAGAAGAAAGGAGCGAUUGUGAAGAUAGCGACCCAGAGAUGAGAUGACCCUGAAACUGAAACAGGAAUUGGAACCAGGAAAGAAUAAUUAAGCUGAGACCAGGAAUAGAAUGGAUUUUAAUAAAUGAUGAGUUUCGAGAACUAAAAAGUUGGAUGAAAAUUUGCAAAGGCUUCAGGCUUUAAGUAAUAGAUUAGGUAAUGGGACUUAAAUGGUAUAUAAGCUGUACGUCUUUUUGGAUGAUUCCACACACUGAGGUGAUGCCCCCACUCUGAGUUGUGAAUAAAGCAAACCUAGAGAUACCCACGUCUGGUCUAUUCAUCCUUUAAUAGAACUGGUGACCCAGAUGGGACACUAGGACACAAGAGGAAGGAAAGCCAGGAACUCCUCUGAAUGAACCCGUAACCAUUGCUCUCUUGCCGGCAAAUCUCAGGUGAGUUCACCUAAAGAGGCUUGGUGUGGGUGAUUCCAGACAAAAACUGGGAGUUCUCUUGUGUUUAAACUUGCUACAACUUACUGUUGAGUAAGUAUAAGAUUAUGGGAACUACACUCAGCAUUGAAAGGGGGACAACCCUUGCUGAGGUUUUAGAGAACUGGAAGAAGAUACCUCUGGCACAAACCUUGCAGAAGCAAAGGUUGGUUAAGUUGUGUCAGGAGGAAUGGCAAUUCCUGACUUGAAACAGGGGAGGAGGACCUAUGGGCGUGAGGCCUCCUGCAGGUAUCUUUAAGCCUCACAAACAAAAAUUCUUAAUAAUAAUUUUAGAGGAUACUGGCAGCCAGGAUAUUGAUUAUUGUUAUAUAUGGUAUAAUUGGGCCCAAGAGAGGCUUAAACCAUCUACGCCAGGAGUAAACUCACUUCCCUCUGCCCCUGAGGCUGAGGAAGCUAACCUUACUACUGUAGGAAUGUACCCUCUGAGAUUAGAGUACAUUCCUAAUCCAAGGGCAAGACCAGGGGCACCUCCAGAUGUUUCCUCAGUCACUGCAGUGAUGAGACAUGAGCCUUGGAACAAGGAGAUUUAAUUGCUUGGCAAAGUAAAAUGCCAAGACUGAGAAAAGAUGCUGAAAAAUGUACACAGUUACUACGUGGAAUAAUUACAGAUUAUUCUCCCAGCUGGAAUGAUACGCAAAGCUUAUUAAGAGAAUUGUUUCAAACAGAGGAAAGAGAAAAAUUUUUUCAAAAGGAUAGGGAAAUUACUCAGAGAGGUCAGGGAUUAAACCCAUGGCCUGAUCAAAAUCCUAAUUGGACUUUAGUAACUACAGCAGGUAUGCAAGCACACCGAACUGCUACACAGCAGUUAGUAGAAGCCGUUCGGCAAUGUGGUAAAAGAACUACAAAUUGGGCAAGAGUGUUAGAAUGCAGACAAAAAUUGGAUGAGCAUCCCAGUGAUUAUUGGACUAGAUUAAAAGCAACUUUGCUGAAAUACGGAGGAAUGACGAGAAAAUUUUCAAGAACCAUUGGCUGUAAGUGGUUUUGUAGAGCAAUCUUCCCCAGGUACAAAUAAAUACUUCAAAAAACAUAUGCCAGGAUGGCAAGGAGAGACUUUAACAAAAACACUUGGUAUUGCUGCUUUUGUCUAUGAUGGAACUGAUGAGGAAAGGCAGAAAAGUGAUGAUGAAAAGCAAAAAUUAGAGAAAAAGCAAGAGCGAAGGGAGAAGGAAAGAGAAAUUAGCCUAUUAGCAGCUGCCAUAGCCCAAAUCUCUAAUCUUAGAGGGAGAGGCAGAAACUUUCCCUGAGGAAAUUUUAGGGGUAGAGGGUGAGGUAAUCAAGGUAGAACUCCCAAUUCUACAUUACAGAUGCAGUUCAGUUCUAAUACUUUAGAAUGGUCUUAUUGCAGAAAUUUAGGUCACACACAGCAUGAGUGUCUGCUCCGUCUGAUCGCCCCUGAGCCAGGACCCACAUCUACAUAUCCACCUCGGCCGCAUUCACAGUGAAUGGAUGGAAAGCUUCUUCCUUACUGGAGAAUCACUGAAACGUCCAAUGAGGGAAUAGAGCUGAAGAACAGUGGAAUUUGCUAAGCAGGCUCUGAGCUGAUCUUGUGCCUUGAGGUGGGAGCUGCUUCUCUCGUGUCCCACACCAGUGUUGUGGGAAGCAUGUCUUGGUGGGAAGACGGAGGAGACCAGCAUCUCUGGCUGCAGGGUGGCCCUUGCUGUUCACAGAGGAAGAAUACCCACAGCUGAAAGGUAAUCUCUUGUUUUAGUGUAACAACAGGUGGUGAUGAGAAGCCCUCCUCAGGAGAGGACCAACCUAAGUAAUCUUUCUGCAGGACCUAACCAAAUGCCAUCGCCUGCUCCUCUGCUCUAAAUAAGCUGUGAACUACUAGGCUGUGAGGAGCAAGCCCAGCCCCUGAGGACUUGCCUGGCGUUCGCAGUGAGCCAAUGACUGAUGGAGGAAACAUCGCUCAGGUGUCCUAAUUCCUACUUUUGUGCUGCUUGCCCUCAACAGCACCAACUGUACCGUGAUUCAAAGAAGAGCAAGUUCCAUUGAAAUCAAAGAAAAUCCCUACUUGCUUCGUUUUUAGCACUGUUUGUAUAAUGUCUCCAGCCUUGCAGGGCACCAGGGUGUGCUUGGUUUACUGUUGUUGCUGUUGAUUUAAAACCUUCCUUAAAGCCUUCUAAAUUCUGGUAAGC